Arabis alpina (gray rockcress) is the source of this 99-nucleotide small nucleolar RNA. It matches the Rfam family "Plant small nucleolar RNA R71". From Rfam's summary of the family: R71 is a member of the C/D box family of snoRNAs containing the C (UGAUGA) and D (CUGA) box motifs. Multiple nearly identical copies of this snoRNA have been identified in Arabidopsis, and it is thought to function as a 2'-O-ribose methylation guide for 18S ribosomal RNA. Lineage: Eukaryota; Viridiplantae; Streptophyta; Magnoliopsida; Brassicales; Brassicaceae. The record is from Rfam.
AACCCGUGGUGAGGACAAUCUCUUUGAUAACCCUUAAAACGUUCCCAUGAAGCCUUGAACGCUUCGGUUGGACCCUGACCAAAAGAGGAGAUCAUGGCU